AGUUUGAUCCUGGCUCAGGAUGAACGCUGGCGGNAUGCCUAACACAUGCAAGUCGAACGGACACCUUCGGGUGUCAGUGGCGAACGGGUGAGUAACGCGUAGGAAUCUACCCCUGGGAGGGGGAUAACAGCUGGAAACGGCUGCUAAUACCCCAUACAGGCGCAAGCUGAAAGGAGCAAUCCGCCCAGGGAUGAGCCUGCGUCGGAUUAGCUAGUUGGUGGGGUAAUGGCCUACCAAGGCGACGAUCCGUAGCGGGUCUGAGAGGAUGGCCCGCCACACUGGGACUGAGACACGGCCCAGACUCCUACGGGAGGCAGCAGUGGGGAAUUUUCCGCAAUGGGCGAAAGCCUGACGGAGCAAUGCCGCGUGAGGGAAGAAGGCCUUCGGGUCGUAAACCUCUUUUCUGGGGGACGAAGUUCUGACGGUACCCCAGGAAUAAGCCUCGGCUAACUCUGUGCCAGCAGCCGCGGUAAGACAGAGGAGGCGAGCGUUAUCCGGAGUCAUUGGGCGUAAAGGGUACGUAGGCGGCUAGUCAAGUCUGAGGUUAAAGACCACAGCUUAACUGUGGAAAGGCCUUGGAAACUGGCCGGCUAGAGUGAGGUAGGGGUUGCGGGAAUUCCCGGUGUAGCGGUGAAAUGCGUAGAGAUCGGGAAGAACACCUGAGGCGGAAGCGCGCAACUGGGCCUCAACUGACGCUGAGGUACGAAAGCUAGGGGAGCGAAUGGGAUUAGAUACCCCAGUAGUCCUAGCCGUAAACGAUGGACACUAGACGUUGGCCGUAUCGACCCGGUCAGUGUCGGANCUAACGCGUUAAGUGUCCCCCCUGGGGAGUACGCACGCAAGUGUGAAACUCAAAGGAAUUGACGGGGG
RNAcentral lists this ribosomal RNA (870 nucleotides) under uncultured bacterium. RNAcentral describes it as "bacterial SSU rRNA". It matches the Rfam family "Bacterial small subunit ribosomal RNA", at positions 10 to 919 of the family's 1533-position model. The record is from RNAcentral.